CGCGAAGUCGUCACUCGUUAUACAAAACGUACGAUAAUGUCCGCCAUUAUGGGACGGUUAGACGAUAUCGACAGACUGUUGUAACGCCGGAAAAUUCACGUCUGCCGGCCGGCUGCGUCGGCGUGGCCGCACGGCGCGCGAUGAAAACGAGACUUUAGGACGAGCGCGAGCGCAGAAGUCGCAGACGACGACCGGACGGUCCGACG
Non-coding RNA from Cinara cedri, 206 nucleotides. The record is from the annotation of a GenBank genome assembly. Lineage: Eukaryota; Metazoa; Arthropoda; Insecta; Hemiptera; Aphididae.